Molecule: non-coding RNA, 1347 nt
Organism: Triticum urartu
Lineage: Eukaryota; Viridiplantae; Streptophyta; Magnoliopsida; Poales; Poaceae
Source: RefSeq, a predicted model, not a curated record
AUUGAUGUUGAAGUUGGUACCAGCAGAUGCAUGUUCCUCUGCUGUAUUUCUCUUCUUUGCACCUCUUUGCCUUGAUGGUUUAUGAGACCGUACAAGGACUAACCUUAUUCAGUAACAUUAAGUUAGUACAAAGUUGAGUCAUCUAUUUUGGAACGGAGGGAGUAAAAGAAAUGGCCGAGAGGCUUCCUCCAGGAGACUCUGAUGCGAAGCUACCACGGCUCGCAUAUGUACCUGCCUGGUAGUGCAGUUUCUCCUGAAAUGGGGAUAGAAGGCCACAAGAGAUAUGAGCCAGUAUACAUUCAUUAUUCUCAGACACCGACUUAUGUCAUGUCUGCUUGGUCUAACGGGCUCCCUCCCCAAGCCCAUCAAAUAGGUAAACCCGUUCAUAACACGGUGGCCCCACAUGAGAGCAUGUUUGAGAACUUGAACAAGAUCAGAGAUUUCCCGGCUUCGCAUCAGAGGUCGAACGGUGGGAUGGCGGGGUAUAUAUCGUCCAAUAUCCGAGGAUUUUGACCGGCAGGAAACAGAAAGGUUCCAGAUAAACCUGCAAGGCUGGAAUAAGAGAGGCUCCGGUUCACCCAGUAACCAAGUUGAGUCCGAGUGGAUAGAACAGUUUGAACCCGGGGUGUACCUGACACUGACACUGCUUUUCUCUUCAUGAUGGAACCAAAGAGCUGAAAAGGGUGCUGUUCAGUCCCCUGUUGUACAGAAGAAGCAUGAUCUGUGCAGUUGGCGCAUGGCAGGAGCAAGUGCCUCUGCUCUUGUGACUCCCCUCCACAUCUUGUGAGUAGUGAGUAGUGAGUUUGUUGUGACCAUGAUACUGCUGUCAAGCCUGUAUGUAUAUUUCUUGGGACUAAGGCCCUGCCUAAAGGGGACUCCAACUUGGUGUUCUGAACUGGAUGUGAGUCAUGUAACCGGCUAACCGUGCAUUGUCGUCAAAUUAGUUGCAUAUUAAGAAUCACACGUAAGUGUAUGUGAUGUUGAUGUAGUAAUAGUCAGUCUACAUAUGAUCUGCUAAGAUUGGAGAAUUAACCUUUCCUUUUUUUGAGUACGAGUUGUGCAUCCAAGAUACGAAUGAAGCCUUGAGAGUGGAUUUCGGAAGCAAGAGGUUCAGAGACUAGAAGAACAUGUAUGCUUGAUUCUAUUUUGUUUAACUUGUGAUCAACUUGGUGCUCGGCUAUGCUGCAAACGUUAUGACCGAAGUUUGCUACCCUUUGCCAAUUUAUGUCUAUCCACUUCUGUUUUUUCCAGUAGGUGGUUGUUCGUUUGUUCAAGUAUACCAAGCUUUGUGUAUCUAUCGACUAUAAAUUUUAAGUUAUGUUGUUUUAACUAUUCUGUUUUGAUUUC